Molecule: small nucleolar RNA, 139 nt
Organism: Phragmites australis (common reed)
Lineage: Eukaryota; Viridiplantae; Streptophyta; Magnoliopsida; Poales; Poaceae
Product: small nucleolar RNA Z247
Exons: 1
Source: RefSeq, a predicted model, not a curated record
CCUCUGGAUGAUGAAGAGAUGGUGUCUAAUAUCCUUACUGGUCUCGAUGUUGAUUUCAAUUCAAUUGUGUCCGCUAUUAUGGCACGUGUCGAACCCAUGUUAGUCAGUGAACUAUACGCAUAGCUUCUAAGUUUCGAGA